RNAcentral lists this ribosomal RNA (2886 nucleotides) under Vibrio parahaemolyticus. RNAcentral's name for it is "23S ribosomal RNA". It matches the Rfam family "Bacterial large subunit ribosomal RNA". The record is from RNAcentral. Lineage: Bacteria; Pseudomonadati; Pseudomonadota; Gammaproteobacteria; Vibrionales; Vibrionaceae.
GGUUAAGUGACUAAGCGUACACGGUGGAUGCCUUGGCAGUCAGAGGCGAUGAAAGACGUAGUAACUUGCGAUAAGCCCAGAUUAGGUAGUAACAACCAUUUGAGUCUGGGAUUUCUGAAUGGGGAAACCCACGUGCAUAAGCACGUAUCCUUACCUGAAUACAUAGGGUAAGGAGGCGAACCGGGGAACUGAAACAUCUAAGUACCCCGAGGAAAAGAAAUCAACCGAGAUUCCGAAAGUAGCGGCGAGCGAAAUUGGACUAGCCCUUAAGCUUUACACGCGUUAGACGAACGGUCUGGAAAGUCCGACGAUACAGGGUGAUAGUCCCGUAGUUGACGACGUGUGUUCAGUGAAAUCGAGUAGGGCGGGACACGUGAUAUCCUGUCUGAAUAUGGGGGACCAUCCUCCAAGGCUAAAUACUACUGACUGACCGAUAGUGAACCAGUACCGUGAGGGAAAGGCGAAAAGAACCCCUGUGAGGGGAGUGAAAUAGAACCUGAAACCGUGUACGUACAAGCAGUAGGAGCACCUUCGUGGUGUGACUGCGUACCUUUUGUAUAAUGGGUCAGCGACUUAUAUUCAGUGGCAAGGUUAACCAUCUAGGGGAGCCGUAGGGAAACCGAGUCUUAACUGGGCGUUCAGUCUCUGGAUAUAGACCCGAAACCAGGUGAUCUAGCCAUGGGCAGGUUGAAGGUUGAGUAACAUCAACUGGAGGACCGAACCGACUAAUGUUGAAAAAUUAGCGGAUGACUUGUGGCUAGGGGUGAAAGGCCAAUCAAACCUGGAGAUAGCUGGUUCUCCCCGAAAGCUAUUUAGGUAGCGCCUCGGACGAAUACUACUGGGGGUAGAGCACUGUUAAGGCUAGGGGUCAUCCCGACUUACCAACCCUUUGCAAACUCCGAAUACCAGUAAGUACUAUCCGGGAGACACACGGCGGGUGCUAACGUCCGUCGUGGAGAGGGAAACAACCCAGACCGCCAGCUAAGGUCCCAAAUUACUACUAAGUGGGAAACGAUGUGGGAAGGCUCAGACAGCCAGGAUGUUGGCUUAGAAGCAGCCAUCAUUUAAAGAAAGCGUAAUAGCUCACUGGUCGAGUCGGCCUGCGCGGAAGAUGUAACGGGGCUAAGUAGUAAACCGAAGCUGCGGCAAUGUGCUUUUGCACAUUGGGUAGGGAGCGUUCUGUAAGCGGUUGAAGGUGUGUGGUAACGCAUGCUGGACGUAUCAGAAGUGCGAAUGCUGACAUGAGUAACGAUAAAGGGGUGAAAAACCUCCUCGCCGGAAGACCAAGGGUUCCUGUCCAACGUUAAUCGGGGCAGGGUAAGUCGACCCCUAAGGCGAGGCCGAAAGGCGUAGUCGAUGGGAAACGGGUUAAUAUUCCCGUACUUCUUACAAUUGCGAUGGGGGGACGGAGAAGGCUAGGUGGGCCUGGCGACGGUUGUCCAGGUUCAAGUGCGUAGGCUUAAGAGUUAGGUAAAUCCGGCUCUUUCUAAGGCUGAGACACGACGUCGAGCUACUACGGUAGUGAAGUCAUUGAUGCCAUGCUUCCAGGAAAAGCCUCUAAGCUUCAGAUUGUAAGGAAUCGUACCCCAAACCGACACAGGUGGUCGGGUAGAGAAUACCAAGGCGCUUGAGAGAACUCGGGUGAAGGAACUAGGCAAAAUGGUACCGUAACUUCGGGAGAAGGUACGCUCUUGAUGGUGAAGUCCCUUGCGGAUGGAGCUGACGAGAGUCGCAGAUACCAGGUGGCUGCAACUGUUUAUUAAAAACACAGCACUGUGCAAAAUCGUAAGAUGACGUAUACGGUGUGACGCCUGCCCGGUGCCGGAAGGUUAAUUGAUGGGGUUAGACUUCGGUCGAAGCUCUUGAUCGAAGCCCCGGUAAACGGCGGCCGUAACUAUAACGGUCCUAAGGUAGCGAAAUUCCUUGUCGGGUAAGUUCCGACCUGCACGAAUGGCGUAAUGAUGGCCACGCUGUCUCCACCCGAGACUCAGUGAAAUUGAAAUCGCUGUGAAGAUGCAGUGUACCCGCGGCUAGACGGAAAGACCCCGUGAACCUUUACUACAGCUUGGCACUGAACAUUGACCCUACAUGUGUAGGAUAGGUGGGAGGCUUUGAAGCACGUACGCCAGUAUGUGUGGAGCCGUCCUUGAAAUACCACCCUUGUAGUGUUGAUGUUCUAACGUCGACCCCUAAUCGGGGUUGCGGACAGUGCCUGGUGGGUAGUUUGACUGGGGCGGUCUCCUCCCAAAGAGUAACGGAGGAGCACGAAGGUGGGCUAAUCACGGUUGGACAUCGUGAGGUUAGUGCAAUGGCAUAAGCCCGCUUGACUGCGAGAAUGACAAUUCGAGCAGGUGCGAAAGCAGGUCAUAGUGAUCCGGUGGUUCUGAAUGGAAGGGCCAUCGCUCAACGGAUAAAAGGUACUCCGGGGAUAACAGGCUGAUACCGCCCAAGAGUUCAUAUCGACGGCGGUGUUUGGCACCUCGAUGUCGGCUCAUCACAUCCUGGGGCUGAAGUCGGUCCCAAGGGUAUGGCUGUUCGCCAUUUAAAGUGGUACGCGAGCUGGGUUUAGAACGUCGUGAGACAGUUCGGUCCCUAUCUGCCGUGGGCGUUGGAAGAUUGAAGGGGGCUGCUCCUAGUACGAGAGGACCGGAGUGGACGAACCUCUGGUGUUCGGGUUGUGUCGCCAGACGCAUUGCCCGGUAGCUAAGUUCGGAAUCGAUAACCGCUGAAAGCAUCUAAGCGGGAAGCGAGGCCCUGAGAUGAGUCUUCCCUGAUACUUUAAGUAUCCUAAAGGGUUGUCGGAGACUACGACGUUGAUAGGUCAGGUGUGUAAGUGCUGUGAGGCAUUGAGCUAACUGAUACUAAUUGCCCGUGAGGCUUAACCAU